This 474-nucleotide ribosomal RNA is filed under the name uncultured bacterium. RNAcentral's name for it is "partial 16S ribosomal RNA". It matches the Rfam family "Bacterial small subunit ribosomal RNA", at positions 28 to 507 of the family's 1533-position model. The record is from RNAcentral.
GAUGAACGCUAGCGGCAGGCCUAACACAUGCAAGUCGAGGGAGGAGCUUUCGGGCUUCGACCGGCGUACGGGUGCGUAACGCGUAUACAAUCUGCCUUUCACAUAGGGAUAGCCCGAAGAAAUUUGGAUUAAUACCUAAUGGUAUAUAGAGGUGGCAUCACCUUUAUAUUAAAGCUGAGGCGGUGAAAGAUGAGUAUGCGUUCUAUUAGCUAGUUGGAGAGGUAACGGCUCCCCAAGGCGACGAUAGAUAGGGGUUCUGAGAGGGAUAUCCCCCACACUGGUACUGAGAUACGGACCAGACUCCUACGGGAGGCAGCAGUGAGGAAUAGUGGACAAUGGUCGGAAGACUGAUCCAGCCAUGCCGCGUGCAGGAAGACGGCCUUAUGGGUGGUAAACUGCUUUUGCAGGGGAAGAAUAAGGACUACGCGUAGUUUGAUGACGGUACUCUGCGAAUAAGCAUCGGCUAACUCCGUG